RNAcentral lists this ribosomal RNA (513 nucleotides) under uncultured bacterium. RNAcentral's name for it is "bacterial SSU rRNA". It matches the Rfam family "Bacterial small subunit ribosomal RNA", at positions 15 to 518 of the family's 1533-position model. The record is from RNAcentral.
GAUUAUGGCUCAGGAUGAACGCUAGCGACAGGCUUAACACAUGCAAGUCGAGGGGCAUCACGGGAGUAGCAAUACAACUGGUGGCGACCGGCGCACGGGUGAGUAACGCGUAUGCAACCUACCUAUCAGAGGGGAAUAACCCGGCGAAAGUCGGACUAAUACCGCAUAAAACAGGGGCACCGCAUGGUGAUAUUUGUUAAAGAAAUUCGCUGAUAGAUGGGCAUGCGUUCCAUUAGGUAGUUGGUGAGGUAACGGCUCACCAAGCCGACGAUGGAUAGGGGAACUGAGAGGUUGGUCCCCCACACUGGUACUGAGACACGGACCAGACUCCUACGGGAGGCAGCAGUGAGGAAUAUUGGUCAAUGGGCGGGAGCCUGAACCAGCCAAGUCGCGUGAAGGAAAGACGGCCCUAUGGGUUGUAAACUGCUUUUGUAUGGGAGCAAUAAGGGCUACGUGUAGUCCGAUGAGAGUACCAUACGAAUAAGCACCGGCUAACUCCGUGCCAGCAGCGGC